GACGAACGCUGGCGGCGUGCUUAACACAUGCAAGUCGAACGGUGAAGCGCUUGCCUUUUUGGUGGGUGUGGAUGAGUGGCGAACGGGUGAGUAAUACGUGAGUAACCUGCCCUCUUCUUCUGGAUAACCUCAUGAAAGUGGGGCUAAUACGGGGUAUUCCGGGUCUGUCGCAUGGCGGGUUUGGGAAAGAUUGCGCCUUUGGGUGUUUUCGGUGGGGGAUGGGCUCGCGGCCUAUCAGCUUGUUGGUGGGGUGAUGGCCUACCAAGGCGGUGACGGGUAGCCGGCCUGAGAGGGUGGACGGCCACACUGGGACUGAGACACGGCCCAGACUCCUGCGGGAGGCAGCAGUGGGGAAUAUUGCACAAUGGGCGCAAGCCUGAUGCAGCGACGCCGCGUGAGGGAUGGAGGCCUUCGGGUUGUGAACCUCUUUCGCCAGUGAAGCAGGCCUGCUCCUGUGUGGGUGGGUUGACGGUAGCUGGAUAAGAAGCGCCGGCUAACUACGUG
This 504-nucleotide ribosomal RNA is filed under the name uncultured bacterium. RNAcentral's name for it is "partial 16S ribosomal RNA". It matches the Rfam family "Bacterial small subunit ribosomal RNA", at positions 28 to 507 of the family's 1533-position model. The record is from RNAcentral.